RNAcentral lists this transfer RNA (22 nucleotides) under Gastrotheca argenteovirens (Popayan marsupial frog). RNAcentral's name for it is "partial tRNA-Phe". RNAcentral also lists the same sequence under 1 other name. Lineage: Eukaryota; Metazoa; Chordata; Amphibia; Anura; Hemiphractidae. The record is from RNAcentral.
ACCUAAAAAGUCCUCUAAACAC